AGAGUUUGAUCCUGGCUCAGGAUGAACGCUGGCGGCGUGCCUAAUACAUGCAAGUCGAGCGAACGGACGAGAAGCUUGCUUCUCUGAUGUUAGCGGCGGACGGGUGAGUAACACGUGGAUAACCUACCUAUAAGACUGGGAUAACUUCGGGAAACCGGAGCUAAUACCGGAUAAUAUUUUGAACCGCAUGGUUCAAAAGUGAAAGACGGUCUUGCUGUCACUUAUAGAUGGAUCCGCGCUGCAUUAGCUAGUUGGUAAGGUAACGGCUUACCAAGGCAACGAUGCAUAGCCGACCUGAGAGGGUGAUCGGCCACACUGGAACUGAGACACGGUCCAGACUCCUACGGGAGGCAGCAGUAGGGAAUCUUCCGCAAUGGGCGAAAGCCUGACGGAGCAACGCCGCGUGAGUGAUGAAGGUCUUCGGAUCGUAAAACUCUGUUAUUAGGGAAGAACAUAUGUGUAAGUAACUGUGCACAUCUUGACGGUACCUAAUCAGAAAGCCACGGCUAACUACGUGCCAGCAGCCGCGGUAAUACGUAGGUGGCAAGCGUUAUCCGGAAUUAUUGGGCGUAAAGUGCGCGUAGGCGGUUUUUUUAAGUCUGAUGUGAAAGCCCACGGCUCAACCGUGGAGGGUCAUUGGAAACUGGAAAACUUGAGUGCAGAAGAGGAAAGUGGAAUUCCAUGUGUAGCGGUGAAAUGCGCAGAGAUAUGGAGGAACACCAGUGGCGAAGGCGACUUUCUGGUCUGUAACUGACGCUGAUGUGCGAAAGCGUGGGGAUCAAACAGGAUUAGAUACCCUGGUAGUCCACGCCGUAAACGAUGAGUGCUAAGUGUUAGGGGGUUUCCGCCCCUUAGUGCUGCAGCUAACGCAUUAAGCACUCCGCCUGGGGAGUACGACCGCAAGGUUGAAACUCAAAGGAAUUGACGGGGACCCGCACAAGCGGUGGAGCAUGUGGUUUAAUUCGAAGCAACGCGAAGAACCUUACCAAAUCUUGACAUCCUUUGACAACUCUAGAGAUAGAGCCUUCCCCUUCGGGGGACAAAGUGACAGGUGGUGCAUGGUUGUCGUCAGCUCGUGUCGUGAGAUGUUGGGUUAAGUCCCGCAACGAGCGCAACCCUUAAGCUUAGUUGCCAUCAUUAAGUUGGGCACUCUAAGUUGACUGCCGGUGACAAACCGGAGGAAGGUGGGGAUGACGUCAAAUCAUCAUGCCCCUUAUGAUUUGGGCUACACACGUGCUACAAUGGACAAUACAAAGGGCAGCGAAACCGCGAGGUCAAGCAAAUCCCAUAAAGUUGUUCUCAGUUCGGAUUGUAGUCUGCAACUCGACUACAUGAAGCUGGAAUCGCUAGUAAUCGUAGAUCAGCAUGCUACGGUGAAUACGUUCCCGGGUCUUGUACACACCGCCCGUCACACCACGAGAGUUUGUAACACCCGAAGCCGGUGGAGUAACCUUUUAGGAGCUAGCCGUCGAAGGUGGGACAAAUGAUUGGGGUGAAGUCGUAACAAGGUAGCCGUAUCGGAAGGUGCGGCUGGAUCACCU
This 1541-nucleotide ribosomal RNA is filed under the name Staphylococcus aureus. RNAcentral describes it as "16S ribosomal RNA". It matches the Rfam family "Bacterial small subunit ribosomal RNA". The record is from RNAcentral. Lineage: Bacteria; Bacillati; Bacillota; Bacilli; Caryophanales; Staphylococcaceae.